GACGAACGCUGGCGCGUGCUAAUACAUGCAAGUCGAGCGAAGUUUUCUGGUGCUUGCACUAGAAAACUUAGCGGCGAACGGGUGAGUAACACGUAAAGAACCUGCCUCAUAGACUGGGACAACUAUUGGAAACGAUAGCUAAUACCGGAUAACAGCAUUAACUGCAUGGUUGAUGUUUAAAAGUUGGUUUUGCUAACACUAUGAGAUGGCUUUGCGGUGCAUUAGCUAGUUGGUGGGGUAAAGGCCUACCAAGGCGACGAUGCAUAGCCGACCUGAGAGGGUGAUCGGCCACCUGGGACUGAGACACGGCCCAGACUCCUACGGGAGGCAGCAGUAGGGAAUCUUCCGCAAUGGGCGAAAGCCUGACGGAGCAACGCCGCGUGAGUGAAGAAGGAUUUCGGUUCGUAAAGCUCUGUUGUUAGGGAAGAAUGAUUGUGUAGUAACUAUACACAGUAGAAGACGGUAC
Molecule: ribosomal RNA, 466 nt
Filed under: Gemella haemolysans
Lineage: Bacteria; Bacillati; Bacillota; Bacilli; Caryophanales; Gemellaceae
Description: bacterial SSU rRNA
Rfam family: Bacterial small subunit ribosomal RNA
Source: RNAcentral